UAAGAAUGUGGUUGACUGGGCUUGCAUCCC
This 30-nucleotide non-coding RNA is filed under the name Mus musculus (house mouse). Lineage: Eukaryota; Metazoa; Chordata; Mammalia; Rodentia; Muridae. The record is from RNAcentral.